ACGUUUUUAUAAAAUAUUGAUAUUUUUGAUUUAUGUACGUUGUUGCGCUUACUUGAACCGGUGUAUGUUUUUUUGUGUGUAGUCUGUUGAGUUGACGGCGGUCACCAUGAGCACGAAAAGUGAGGACGAAAUCGAAUAGAAAAUUAUGUCGGAUAACCAUUCGCGAAGUGGACUGAUCAAUCGGUUUUUCAUGUCUAUUACCAAAACUAACUGGACGAUUGCGCCGAACGCUAAUAGACAUCUGAUCGCCGUAACAUGGCGACCAUAAUGUAGUAACUAGGUAACCCACAAUUAUAGUUACUCACCAGUCACCACUUCACCAGCUAUGUCAGCUGUCAGAAUAACGUUUAUUAUUUUUACCCGCACUUACUCAAUGAGGUAAAACCGAUGUACAGUGUACAAAUUUCUCAUAGUUUUCGAUGGGAUAAAGAAAAGAUAAUAGUGGUGUACUGGUGUAAGAUGAGUACUGAAUAAUAUGGUUAAUAAAAAGUUUAUAAGUAUUUUUUUCCAAAGUAGGUAAGUAGUACCUUUAUGAAUCUAUAUAUUUUAAUAAAGAAAAAUUCAGGAUUCCGUACUGGGAUCAUUCAAACUUCA
Molecule: long non-coding RNA, 594 nt
Organism: Melanaphis sacchari
Lineage: Eukaryota; Metazoa; Arthropoda; Insecta; Hemiptera; Aphididae
Exons: 3
Source: RefSeq, a predicted model, not a curated record